GAUGAACGCUGGCGGCGUGCCUAAUACAUGCAAGUCGAGCGAACGGACGAGAAGCUUGCUUCUCUGAUGUUAGCGGCGGACGGGUGAGUAACACGUGGAUAACCUACCUGUAAGACUGGGAUAACUUCGGGAAACCGGAGCUAAUACCGGAUAAUAUUUUGAACCGCAUGGUUCAAAAGUGAAAGACGGUCUUGCCGUCACUUAUAGAUGGAUCCGCGCUGCAUUAGCUAGUUGGUAAGGUAACGGCUUACCAAGGCAACGAUGCAUAGCCGACCUGAGAGGGUGAUCGGCCACACUGGAACUGAGACACGGUCCAGACUCCUACGGGAGGCAGCAGUAGGGAAUCUUCCGCAAUGGGCGAAAGCCUGACGGAGCAACGCCGCGUGAGUGAUGAAGGUCUUCGGAUCGUAAAACUCUGUUAUUAGGGAAGAACAUAUGUGUAAGUAACUGUGCACAUCUUGACGGUACCUAAUCAGAAAGCCACGGCUAACUACGUGCCAGCAGCCGCGGUAAUACGUAGGUGGCAAGCGUUAUCCGGAAUUAUUGGGCGUAAAGCGCGCGUAGGCGGUUUUUUAAGUCUGAUGUGAAAGCCUACGGCUCAACCGUGGAGGGUCAUUGGAAACUGGAAAACUUGAGUGCAGAAGAGGAAAGUGGAAUUCCAUGUGUAGCGGUGAAAUGCGCAGAGAUAUGGAGGAACACCAGUGGCGAAGGCGACUUUCUGGUCUGUAACUGACGCUGAUGUGCGAAAGCGUGGGGAUCAAACAGGAUUAGAUACCCUGGUAGUCCACGCCGUAAACGAUGAGUGCUAAGUGUUAGGGGGUUUCCGCCCCUUAGUGCUGCAGCUAACGCAUUAAGCACUCCGCCUGGGGAGUACGACCGCAAGGUUGAAACUCAAAGGAAUUGACGGGGACCCGCACAAGCGGUGGAGCAUGUGGUUUAAUUCGAAGCAACGCGAAGAACCUUACCAAAUCUUGACAUCCUUUGACAACUCUAGAGAUAGAGCUUUCCCCUUCGGGGGACAAAGUGACAGGUGGUGCAUGGUUGUCGUCAGCUCGUGUCGUGAGAUGUUGGGUUAAGUCCCGCAACGAGCGCAACCCUUAAGCUUAGUUGCCAUCAUUAAGUUGGGCACUCUAAGUUGACUGCCGGUGACAAACCGGAGGAAGGUGGGGAUGACGUCAAAUCAUCAUGCCCCUUAUGAUUUGGGCUACACACGUGCUACAAUGGACAAUACAAAGGGCAGCGAAACCGUGAGGUCAAGCAAAUCCCAUAAAGUUGUUCUCAGUUCGGAUUGUAGUCUGCAACUCGACUACAUGAAGCUGGAAUCGCUAGUAAUCGUAGAUCAGCAUGCUACGGUGAAUACGUUCCCGGGUCU
RNAcentral lists this ribosomal RNA (1372 nucleotides) under uncultured bacterium. RNAcentral describes it as "bacterial SSU rRNA". It matches the Rfam family "Bacterial small subunit ribosomal RNA", at positions 28 to 1381 of the family's 1533-position model. The record is from RNAcentral.